ACGGGUCAAAAAUUCCGUUGAACCGGUUCUCGGUGGAAGAACCGAAUGUUCCGGUUGCUUCCCUUCUCACAGGCGGUUCGCUGUGCGCCGUCCGCCCGGCUCGAAUCGGCCGGAGUCCCGUCCCGAUGAAUCGAUCUGUCGUCUCCACCUCCCUCUCUGCCCGGUUCUUCAGUUGAUACGCAGCGGAUCGAGGAGUAUUACGUCGAGGAAUCGACUGUUUUAGAAUCGAUUCUCCUCUUCGACCUUGACUCGCUGGGAUGGGGAGGUGGAGGGGUUUAGGCGAUUCACAGAACCGAUCGGCGGAGCAGUUCCAGUUUUUGAUUCUUCCCUCCAGAUGCUACAGCGAAUUGUAUGUAUAACCGGAUCAAUUAGUGCAAGGGUUCACAGAUGUUACCGGCUCUGUUGCUUGCGCUUCAUAGGAUGAUUGGUUCCUCUAUCGCUGAUUUCUUCGAGGGUAACAGGACUACCGGCAGCCAUCUCUCCGAAAGAAUCCUCCUCGUCUGAGUGCUCUGCUGAUCUACUCGAACUGGAUAAGAGAUCCUCUGUCCCGAAAAUACCGUGUCUCUGUGUCCCAGCGUCGAUCAGACGGUGUUGUUUUAAUUUUAAAAAAUAAAACAAACAUCAUUAAAAGAAAAGGAUAAUAAUUAAUAAGGGCUCCUUUUUAUUUUAUAGCCCUUCUUUAUUUUUCUCUAAAAUAAAAUGUGUUUUCUAAUAAAUAUACGGAUUAAUUUUAGACUUUUGUGAAUACAAAACAAAAGAAAUGUGCUUUUAACUCCUACCCUCACGCCUUUGCAAGAACUAACAUUCCAAAA
Long non-coding RNA from Zingiber officinale, 812 nucleotides. RefSeq lists it as uncharacterized. The record is from RefSeq and is a predicted model, not a curated record. The transcript is spliced from 3 exons. NCBI's taxonomy places the organism in Eukaryota, Viridiplantae, Streptophyta, Magnoliopsida, Zingiberales, Zingiberaceae.